AGCUAUCAGCCACCUGGGUGACUCUGGCAGACACCUGCAACACAAGCAAUCAGGCACAGAACUAGACACAUAUUCCAUCAGUGGUCAGACGAAGGCCAAAUAUGGAGUCGUACCUUAGUCACGAUGGAUGAUCCUGAAGAAUCGUAAACCCAGCCAUCUUGACAAGUGGUG
This is a long non-coding RNA of Caretta caretta (loggerhead turtle), 171 nucleotides long. RefSeq lists it as uncharacterized. NCBI's taxonomy places the organism in Eukaryota, Metazoa, Chordata, Testudines, Cheloniidae. The record is from RefSeq and is a predicted model, not a curated record.